This 21-nucleotide transfer RNA is filed under the name Muehlenbeckia sp. Mt Brockman (L.A.Craven 2357) K.L.Wilson & Makinson. RNAcentral describes it as "partial tRNA-Leu". Lineage: Eukaryota; Viridiplantae; Streptophyta; Magnoliopsida; Caryophyllales; Polygonaceae. The record is from RNAcentral.
CUACUAAGUGAGAACUUUCAA